AGAGCGAACGCUGGCGGCAGGCCUAACACAUGCAAGUCGAGCGCCCCGCAAGGGGAGCGGCAGACGGGAGAGUAACACGUGGGAACGUACCCUUCAGUUCGGAACAACCCAGGGAAACUUGGGCUAAUACCGAAUACGUCCGUAAGGAGAAAGAUUUAUCGCUGAAGGAUCGGCCCGCGUCUGAUUAGCUAGUUGGUGGGGUAAUGGCCCACCAAGGCGACGAUCAGUAGCUGGUCUGAGAGGAUGAUCAGCCUCAUUGGGACUGAGACACGGCCCAGACUCCUACGGGAGGCAGCAGUGGGGAAUAUUGGACAAUGGGCGCAAGCCUGAUCCAGCCAUGCCGCGUGAGUGAAGAAGGCCUUAGGGUUGUAAAGCUCUUUCAGCGGGGAAGAUAAUGACGGUACCCGCAGAAGAAGCCCCGGCUAACUUCGUGCCAGCAGCCGC
RNAcentral lists this ribosomal RNA (444 nucleotides) under uncultured bacterium. RNAcentral's name for it is "SSU rRNA". It matches the Rfam family "Bacterial small subunit ribosomal RNA", at positions 26 to 518 of the family's 1533-position model. The record is from RNAcentral.